This 373-nucleotide ribosomal RNA is filed under the name uncultured eukaryote. RNAcentral describes it as "partial 18S ribosomal RNA". It matches the Rfam family "Eukaryotic small subunit ribosomal RNA", at positions 592 to 976 of the family's 1831-position model. The record is from RNAcentral.
CAAUAGCGUAUAUUAAAGUUGUUGCAGUUAAAAAGCUCGUAGUUGAAUUUUUGCUUGCCGCCGAUGUCGGAACUUCCGUACGUUCGGCGGCGUGCAUCCUUGGGUGGAACCUGUGUGGCAUUAGGUUGUCGUGCAGGGGAUGCUCAUCGUUUACUGUGAAAAAAUUAGAGUGUUCAAAGCAGGCUUAUGCCGCUGAAUAUAUUAGCAUGGGAUAAUGAGAUAGGACCUUGGUACUAUUUUGUUGGUUUGUGCACCGAGGUAAUGAUUAAUAGGGACAGUUGUGGGUAUUCGUAUUCCAUUGUCAGAGGUGAAAUUCUUGGAUUUCUGGAAGACGAACGAAUGCGAAAGCAUUUACCAAGGAUGUUUUCAUUAA